AUUGAACGCUGGCGGCAUGCUUUACACAUGCAAGUCGAACGGUAACAGGCCGCAAGGUGCUGACGAGUGGCGAACGGGUGAGUAAUGCAUCGGAACGUGCCCAGUCGUGGGGGAUAACGCAGCGAAAGCUGCGCUAAUACCGCAUACGAUCUAUGGAUGAAAGCGGGGGACCGUAAGGCCUCGCGCGAUUGGAGCGGCCGAUGUCAGAUUAGGUAGUUGGUGGGGUAAAGGCUCACCAAGCCAACGAUCUGUAGCUGGUCUGAGAGGACGACCAGCCACACUGGGACUGAGACACGGCCCAGACUCCUACGGGAGGCAGAAGUGGGGAAUUUUGGACAAUGGGCGCAAGCCUGAUCCAGCAAUGCCGCGUGCAGGAAGAAGGCCUUCGGGUUGUAAACUGCUUUUGUACGGAACGAAAAGGCUCUGGUUAAUACCUGGGGCUCAUGACGGUACCGUAAGAAUAAGCACCGGCUAACUACGUGCCAGCAGCCGCGGUAA
This 498-nucleotide ribosomal RNA is filed under the name uncultured bacterium. RNAcentral describes it as "partial 16S ribosomal RNA". It matches the Rfam family "Bacterial small subunit ribosomal RNA", at positions 30 to 523 of the family's 1533-position model. The record is from RNAcentral.